RNAcentral lists this ribosomal RNA (264 nucleotides) under uncultured bacterium. RNAcentral describes it as "partial 16S ribosomal RNA". It matches the Rfam family "Bacterial small subunit ribosomal RNA", at positions 524 to 784 of the family's 1533-position model. The record is from RNAcentral.
GACGAGGGGUCCAAGCGUUGUUCGGAAUUAUUGGCGUAAAGCGGGUGUGAGGUGGCUCUGUAAGUCAAGAAGUGAAAGCCCCGAGCUUAAACUUGGGAAGUGCUUUGAUACUGCAGAGCUUGAGUGUGGGAGAGGAUCGUGGAAUUCCAGGUGUAGUGGUGAAAUACGUAGAUAUCUGGAGGAACACCGGUGGCGAAGGCGGCGAAGUCUGGCCCAACACUGACACUGAGACCCGAAAGCGUGGGAUCAAACAGGAGUUAGGAA